This is a non-coding RNA of Oryctolagus cuniculus (rabbit), 702 nucleotides long. NCBI's taxonomy places the organism in Eukaryota, Metazoa, Chordata, Mammalia, Lagomorpha, Leporidae. The record is from RefSeq and is a predicted model, not a curated record.
GUGGGUAACAGAAAAUCAGUGUGACUGUGUUGCCGUGAGAAGCAGAACUGUGAAACGAGGUCAGAGAUGUCAGAAGAGCCGAAGACCAUGUUAACAAACCGGGAAGUUUUCUUUGCUUUUUUCCGAGAUAGGACGGGGAGUCACUGAGAGGUAAGCAGAAUCUUACCACGGAAAUGGAGUUAGAAAGCAGCGUUCCAUCCUGGCCCAGCAUGUUGGAGACGGUGAUUUCAGCUUUGGGCAUUCGAAUUUAAUAAUGUCACCACGGAAGUGCCAGGCAACUCACAUCUUCUGUGAAAGUGCUUCUCAACUGGAGCCACUCUGCUGCACCCUAGAGAAGGUAUUCGAUAUUUGACAAUGCUUGGAGACACAGUGAUUGUUAUGACAGAGGAAUGCUUCUGACACCCACUAGGUAGAGGCCAGGGAUACUCCUCAUAUCCUACAAUGUCCAGGACAGCCCCCAUGGAAAAGCAUGAGCCAGCACCAUGCCAACAAUGCUGUUGUUGAGAAACCUUGAUCUAUAAUAUACAUAGUUUGAGUUUGCAGCUUUGGUCACUUUAAUGAUGAACUGUGAGAUGACAGAUGAGAUCAACUAUGGAAUGAUUCACUUAAGUAAUAAAGGUGGCUCAAAUUCUGUCAAGCAAGAACUCCAUAUUUUUAAAAUCACUUAUGGUUUGUAUAAUGCAAUGUGAUUACUCAACUCUA